GGAUGUGAGGUGAUCUGGCUGCAACAUCUGUCACCCCAUUGAUGGCUAGGGUUGAUUUACUGAUCUGGCUGGCGUCCCCUUCAUCCCUCACAGCUCCAUGUGUGUCCCUCUUGAAGCUGCAUGCUCAGUCGAAGAGGAUGACCAUCCCAGAUGAGGAGGACUGUUCUUCAGUCAAAGGUAUACGAAACUGUGCUCCCCUGCUAGAACCUCCAAACAAGCUCUAAAUAUGUUGUGUCUAAGAUUAAUAUAGAUAUUCCUCAUUUCUUUGGUUAAUGUCAGUGCAA
Molecule: small nuclear RNA, 284 nt
Filed under: Castor canadensis (American beaver)
Lineage: Eukaryota; Metazoa; Chordata; Mammalia; Rodentia; Castoridae
Description: 7SK RNA (ENSCCNG00000010456.1)
Rfam family: 7SK RNA
About the family: 7SK was discovered as an abundant small nuclear RNA in the mid-70s but a possible function has only recently been suggested.
Source: Rfam by way of RNAcentral